AUCGUACCCCAAACCGACACAGGUGGUCAGGUAGAGAAUACCAAGGCGCUUGAGAGAACUCGGGUGAAGGAACUAGGCAAAAUGGUGCCGUAACUUCGGGAGAAGGCACGCUGAUAUGUAGGUGAAGCCCCUGCGGGUGGAGCUGAAAUCAGUCGAAGAUACCAGCUGGCUGCAACUGUUUAUUAAAAACACAGCACUGUGCAAACACGAAAGUGGACGUAUACGGUGUGACGCCUGCCCGGUG
RNAcentral lists this ribosomal RNA (244 nucleotides) under Klebsiella sp. H-Nf2. Its description in RNAcentral is "partial 23S ribosomal RNA". It matches the Rfam family "Bacterial large subunit ribosomal RNA", at positions 1641 to 1868 of the family's 2925-position model. The record is from RNAcentral. Lineage: Bacteria; Pseudomonadati; Pseudomonadota; Gammaproteobacteria; Enterobacterales; Enterobacteriaceae.